GGGGGACCUGGGGGCCGGGGGAAGCUGCUGGCCGCCCCUCCCCCCACCGAAAGCCCCUGGGACUUCUUGGGGGAAAGGCCCUCCUGGACUGAGGUCGGCAUUCAGUGCAACAAGCCCUCGUGCAUUCAAAACAGUCCGACCCAGGAAGGCCAGUCGACAGGCCUGUGGGCACCCUAAUAGCUGUUUGUUUGUUUAAGCACCUUGAAGCCCAGGUGCAUUGAAAAAAAUCUGAGACCCGGGAAGGAGCCCUUGAGGUAUGUUGUGAUUACAGCCAUUUCACAGGUGAGAUAGCUGAGUCUCUGUGGCUGAGUAGCCAAGGAAGCAGCCAUUUAACGUAGCAAAUAAUAUUACACAACGCUCUCCUCUUCUGGGAAAUAGUUGUUGGCUUUGUCAAGGCUAAUAGAAAUAAAACCUUGAAUAAACUUUCCCUGAAGUGAGA
This is a long non-coding RNA of Canis lupus familiaris (dog), 439 nucleotides long. RefSeq lists it as uncharacterized. The record is from RefSeq and is a predicted model, not a curated record. Lineage: Eukaryota; Metazoa; Chordata; Mammalia; Carnivora; Canidae. The transcript has 2 exons.